This is a long non-coding RNA of Pogoniulus pusillus (Red-fronted tinkerbird), 4336 nucleotides long. RefSeq lists it as uncharacterized. The transcript has 2 exons. The record is from RefSeq and is a predicted model, not a curated record. NCBI's taxonomy places the organism in Eukaryota, Metazoa, Chordata, Aves, Piciformes, Lybiidae.
GGGAGGUGGUGGAGUCACAGUCCCUGGAGGUAUUUAAGAAAAGAUUUGAUGAGGCACUUAGUGCCAUGGUGUAGGGCUGGGUGUACUGCCAUGAUGUAGGACAGGGCUGGGUGCUAGGUUGGACUGGAUGAUCUUGGAGUUCUCUUCCAAGCUGGUUGAUUCUAUGAUUCUAUGACAUAGCAGCAAAUCACAGUUUGUUCUUGAGGAAUUUGAGAUGCCUUUAUCAGUCCUGCUGUUGAAUUGUGAUGCUACCUCCAGGACUGCUUUUGAAUUUGCACAGUAGCUCACAUAGGCCUUGACCUCAGUGAUGCCAUUAUGAAAUAAAGAGUCUUCAGACUCUGCAGGGGAUUCACUGGGGAAAGGAUAUCAAGAGGAAAAGGCAACUUUUUACAGAAAUAAGGAAAUUCGUUUCCUCAGCAACACAGAAUCAUAGAAUGCUUUGGGUUGGAAGGGAUCUUAAAGGUCAUCUAGUUCCAAUCCCCUGCCAUAGACAAGGACACUUCCUGCCUGAACAGGCUACUCAAGGCCAGACCGAGCCUGGUGUUGAGUAUUUCCAGGCUUGGAGCCUCAAUAACUCCUCUGAGCAACCUGUUCCAGUGCCUCACCAACCUCACAAUGAAGAUUUUCUCCCUAAUGCCUAAUCUCAAUCUAGCAUUUUUCAGUUUGAAGCCAUUACCCCUUAUCCUCCCACUACAUGCCUUUGUAGUAAGUCUGUCUCCAGCUAUCCUGUAGGCCCUCUUCAAAUACUGAAAGGCUGCUGUAAGGUGUCCUCAGAGCCCUCUCUUCUCCAGGCCAAAGAACCCUAACUCUUCUCAGUCUGUCUUCAUAGAGAGAUGCUCUAGCCCUUUGAUCAUCUUCAUGGCUCUCCUCUGGACCUGCUCAUGUUCUUCUUGUUUUGGGAAUCUCUUGUGUUUGGAACAUCCUACCUCUGCAGUUUGGCAUCCCUCUCCUUCACGAGGCAAGGUGCUGGUGGCUUUAGUAGCAGGUAUGCACACCAGCGGCAAUUCCCGCAGCUGUGCUUUGGCGUAGGGGUGGUAGCUGAGAAGAAACAGGAAGGCAGUAGAUAAAAACAGUCAUCCUAAAUACCUCACACAUUUCAGUGAAAUGAAACCCUCCUCAUCUUUCAGCAGACUCCUCUAAAGGGUGAAUUUAAGUCUGGCCACAAGAUUUCAGAUUUGAGAGAACUGUACUUUAAGGAUGUUGUUUGAUAUGGAACAAAAGGCUUUCAUUAUCUUUCAUGAAACAGAGAAUGUUUUAACGUUCAAGGAAAACUGUUUUUCCCCUUGAUCUAUGAUGCACUCAGGAUUAAAGGAACAAAACAGCAAAACCCCCAAACCAACAAACAACCCAACCAACCAACCCAAACCAGCAACAACAACAACAAACCAAAACCGAAACGCCAAACCAUCUCUUGGUUAAAAAUAUUCUUUAACUAGAAACUGGGACAUGACAUUUUGUUGUCUUCAAAACUGAGCAUUAGCUGUAAGGUAACAAAGCUCUGGCUUGUGAGACUUUAUGUUAGGUAUGGAAUUUUUGCAAUGCCAAAUCAAAAAGACUUUUUUUCAGGCAACUCUCACUCUCAGAAGUGGAUGGAAAAACUGAAGACUCUUUCUUUGUGUUCUCAUUGCUUUACAAGAUACGAGCUUCCUAUGUGACUGCUAUCUGACCCUGAAGAUGCUCAGAAACAACAUGGAUAUACUAGACAGAGGGCUUAGGGAGUAACAGGGACAAACUCAGGGGCUCUCUCACUGCAAAACUGGGAGCUCAGGGGUUCCCAGAGCAUUGCUACAGGUUCUCCCCAUUUUUCUGACCCUCACAGAAGAGAACUGCUUAGAACCGCCAUUCCUGUGCACAUCUGAAGCACCUCUGCAUCUCCAAAUCCACAGAGAAGGAGAGGGCCCUGCUCCAUGAUCAACCUGCUCAUUAAGUAUCAUGUGCAAGGACAUUACAGGCAUCAAAAUUUUACAUCAAGUGCAGGACAUUCUCCUUUUCUGCAGCAAUUUUUCAUUGCAUUUAUUAAUCUUGUACCUAGAACUGCACAAAAUACUCUGCAGAUAAAUGAUGGGGGGGAGGGGGAGAAGAGGUGAUCUUUCCUUCACAUAUUUUUUAUCAGAACAUCUGCAAUAUGUUGUAUUUAAACUGCUUUGCAGUUGCUGUACACAUACAAGAUGGAAAUGGAGAGGUGUCAAGGCAAUGCUGUCUCACAGUACUGAGUGACUGGGUGAUAAAACAGCAACUAAAAUUCAGCAGCGAUAAGUGCAAAGCAACGUACAUGGGCAAAAAUAACCCUGACAACACAUAGACACUGGUUCAAGCUAUCACUUUUGCCGCAGGAGAUCUGGACAAUGAAGUGGAAAGCUCUCUGAAAAUAUUUGUGUGGGGCCUAGGAAGUGGUUAAAAUGAGGACCUGAAUGUUAGGAAUUAGUAGCUCUCCCCUUACGUGAUGAACUGUAAAGUCGUAGGACUCCUAUUGCUUAGAGUCCUGAAGAUGCUUGGAAAUAUGACUCUUGCCUAUUCCCUGGAGCCAGCAAAAUUUAACAGUCCUUUUAGCAGAAUCAAAGUUCUAAAGAAAGUAGUGUUUUGUAGCAAGACUGGAAAGGACAGGAAGAAUGGUAAUAAAGCUUGACACUGGAAAUAGAGCUUGAAAAAAGGGGUAGCUGAAGGGAAAUCCAAUUAAAAUCUAGUAAAUGGUGAGAAAGUCAAAACAGAAACUUAAUUCACUAUAACAAAGGAUCACUUAAUGAAACAAUCAGGAAGAAGACUUGACUUGUUUUUGCACAGGGAAGAAUUAUCAUGGCACAGGAUGUUGUGGAAAGAAAACCCAUAAAUGUGGGCUCAAAAAGGGUUAAGACAAACUCCUAUUGAACAGGACCACUGGUAGCUACUAAGCAUGCUAGCUUGGAUACAACCCUCAGUUCCAGAAGUCUCCAGCUCAUUAGUUGCUGGAAAAUUACAAGGUAAAUAGGAGGAGAAUACAUGGUCUAUUUUUACACUGUUUAACUAAGCAUUCAGUCUCAUCUGCUGGAGAGAAGGUACAGAGCUAGAUGGAUCCAACUGUGAUUUUACAUUCUAAGAAAGUAACAGAAACAACCAAGGGUAUGCUAACACUGACAGUAAACAUUAAUUUCACUUGCUUUAGCCACUCUAAUGUCCAGAUUCAGGCAUGUGCAAGAAAUCAUAGUCCAUGUAUGACCAGAGAAUACAGGAUUAUCCCAACAGCAGCAUUCACUUCUUUGCAACCUACAGAUUUCGAGACAUUACUUACUCAUUUCUUCUGAAAAGAGAAAACUUUGUCACCAAAGCUCCUGCAAAGGCUGCAGGAGUGAGCCAGUGUUUGCCUUUUCCUGAUCAAAAACCAGCAUAACAUCAGGUGACAGAGUAAGUUGGUCACAAUGGUUUAUUUGUGCUGAAAUUCACCGUAGUUGCUUCAGUACAUGUGAGAGGCCACUUUUGCUUACAGAUUAAAUCCGUAGAUGAGAAGCAGGUGCAGACUGAAGAUAAUGAGCAGCUCAGGUCCAGGACGAGACGGGAUAAGCCUGCUCUGAGAUAUCAGUAACAAACCUCCCACUCAGUUCUGUGGGAGCAGGACUAAAGCACAGCUUGCAAAUCUUGCAAGUAGCAGCUGUUUCAUCACCUCCUUUGGUAUCCUUUCCAGGAUUUCAGCUUCCUCCAGAUUUUGGCACUCUACAACUACUUGGGUUGUGGGAAGAUGCCCGCAGCAUCGAGUAAGCACACAGUGCCUACUUGGACUGCAUGACCUGAAUAUCACUGGGGCCUCUGUAGGUAAACAGUGCAACUCCAAGGAUAUUCUCUCAAUCAUUCUUACUCUCUUAUUUUUGCAGGACCACUUUCCCAUGUAGAAAUAAUACAUUAUUUUGUGACCUAUCUAAAUAAAAGUAUUUAAUGCUUGCAAUAAGACACUGACAUUGUGGUUUUUCUCAUUUUUAUCUAAUUUGAAGGAUAUUCUUACUGCAAACAGUGAAGUUUGGCCUCUUUUCUCCCCUUCAUCUUAGCAAUAAUCUCUGGAUACACAUAAAUGCCAAAGUACUGACUUAGGUGUUAUUGAUUUUCCCUGAACAUGAAUUCUCUUGUUUUCAUCGCUGUAGAGACUCUCAUUCAACUACAAGGAAAGCAUUUGCUGAGGCAACUUCAUCACAAUGAAAAUGUGAAAAGGAAUAAAACUGGAGACUGGCCACAAUGAACAAGACACAGUUAAGAGAGUUAGGAGACCACAGAAAAUCAGCAUUAGGCUGUGAUGUUUAGCAGUCUUGGAUGUACAUCUGGAGUAGAGAAAAUAGCCCUUCCUUCAAUAAAGCAAGCCUUAGGGGCACCUGAA